AGCGAACGCUGGCGGCAGGCUUAACACAUGCAAGUCGAACGGAUGUAGCAAUACAUUAGUGGCAGACGGGUGAGGAACACGUGGGAAUAUACCCUUUGGUUCGGGAUAACUCAGGGAAACUUGAGCUAAUACCGGAUAAGUCGGUAACGAGAAAGAUUUAUCGCCGAAGGAGUAGCCCGCGUCUGAUUAGCUAGUUGGUGAGGUAAUGGCUCACCAAGGCGACGAUCAGUAGCUGGUCUGAGAGGAUGAUCAGCCACACUGGGACUGAGACACGGCCCAGACUCCUACGGGUGGCUG
RNAcentral lists this ribosomal RNA (297 nucleotides) under uncultured Pseudomonadota bacterium. RNAcentral describes it as "uncultured proteobacterium partial 16S ribosomal RNA". It matches the Rfam family "Bacterial small subunit ribosomal RNA", at positions 29 to 351 of the family's 1533-position model. The record is from RNAcentral. Lineage: Bacteria; Pseudomonadati; Pseudomonadota.